AAGCCUAUAACUCAGUUGGUUUAGAGUAUACGCCUGAUAAGCGUAAAGUCAGUAGUUCAAAUCUACUUAGGCUUA
This 75-nucleotide transfer RNA is filed under the name Coscinodiscus wailesii. Its description in RNAcentral is "tRNA-Ile". It matches the Rfam family "tRNA". Rfam says of the family: Transfer RNA (tRNA) molecules are approximately 80 nucleotides in length. Their secondary structure includes four short double-helical elements and three loops (D, anti-codon, and T loops). Lineage: Eukaryota; Bacillariophyta; Coscinodiscophyceae; Coscinodiscales; Coscinodiscaceae. The record is from RNAcentral.